AUUAUUACUAUUAUUAUUACCCAGUGACUGCAUCACUAAGAAUUGUUGCAUCUUUUGCUAUCUUAAAGGUCAAAGACGAGUUCUACUCCUUUAAGUGCCAAGAAGAGGUCUUAUUCUGUCCUGCGCCAGAAGACACUGAACGGGAUUUAGUGAAAGAAGAGGAAGAACAGUUGAUGGAAGAAAGGAAAAAGAGAAAGGACGACAAGAAAAAGAAGGAAGCUGCUCAAAAGAAGGUAAUGUGUAUUUAAAUAUCAACAUUUAAUUUUAAAAAUGAAAAUUGCUUCACCUAAAGUUUUUUCCAAAAGCCUUUGUUGCAUUGUAUCUGCAAAGGGAUGCUCUCUCCACUGUACCACCUUGCUUAAUUAAUUAAGAAAACAUGAAGUCAAGAUAACCAAUUAGGAAGCUGUUACAAUAGUCAUUUCAGGGUUCAAAGGGACCUCAGUUGUUAUUUAGUCUAACCCAUCCCCUCAAAAGAAUACCUUUUACACAAUGCUAGGCAAAC
RNAcentral lists this long non-coding RNA (502 nucleotides) under Phascolarctos cinereus (koala). Its description in RNAcentral is "lncRNA (ENSPCIG00000012104.2)". Lineage: Eukaryota; Metazoa; Chordata; Mammalia; Diprotodontia; Phascolarctidae. The record is from RNAcentral.